UACGAAGGGUGCUAGCGUUGUUCGGAAUCACUGGGCGUAAAGCGCGCGUAGGCGGCUUUGCAAGUCAGAGGUGAAAGCCUGGAGCUCAACUCCAGAACUGCCUUUGAAACUGCGAAGCUUGAGUGUCGGAGGGGAUAGCGGAAUUGCUAAUGUAGAGGUGAAAUUCGUAGAUAUUAGCAGGAACACCGGUGGCGAAGGCGGCUAUCUGGACGACAACUGACGCUGAGGCGCGAAAGCGUGGGGAUCAAACAGG
This 253-nucleotide ribosomal RNA is filed under the name uncultured bacterium. RNAcentral describes it as "partial 16S ribosomal RNA". It matches the Rfam family "Bacterial small subunit ribosomal RNA", at positions 524 to 776 of the family's 1533-position model. The record is from RNAcentral.